GAUGAACGCUGGCGGCGUGCCUAACACAUGCAAGUCGAACGGAGAUUACGGACGGAAGUUUUCGGAUGGAAGACGGUAAUUCGUAGUGGCGGACGGGGGAGUAACGCGUGGGCAACCUGCCCUAUACAGGGGGAUAGCAGCUGGAAACGGCUGGUAAGACCGCAUAAGUCGGUUAAAUCGCAUGAUUUGAUCGGGAAAUGAGCAAUCAGGUAUAGGAUGGGCCCGCGUCCGAUGCGCCAGUUGGCAGGGUAAAAGCCUACCAAAGCGACGAUCGCUAGCCGGACUGAGAGGUCGGACGGACACAUUGGGACUGAGCCACGGCCCAAACUCCUACGGGAGGCAGCAGUGGGGGAUAUUGCACAAUGGAGGAAACUCUGAUGCAGCGACGCCGCGUGAGUGAAGAAGUAUUUCGGUAUGUAAAGCUCUAUCAGCAGGGAAGAUGAUGACGGUACCUGACUAAGAAGCCCCGGCUAACUACGUG
This 481-nucleotide ribosomal RNA is filed under the name uncultured bacterium. RNAcentral describes it as "partial 16S ribosomal RNA". It matches the Rfam family "Bacterial small subunit ribosomal RNA", at positions 28 to 507 of the family's 1533-position model. The record is from RNAcentral.